Labrus bergylta (ballan wrasse) is the source of this 265-nucleotide non-coding RNA. Lineage: Eukaryota; Metazoa; Chordata; Actinopteri; Labriformes; Labridae. The record is from RefSeq and is a predicted model, not a curated record.
AUGUGUCAGGAGCGUAUGGGAUUCUUUCCCUUAUUCAAGGUGCCGGCUGUGGAGAAGUGGCUGGCGUAAAAGCAAAUGUGUGCAAAGACCUUGAAGAAAACUUGAAAUGUGCAUUAGAUAAAGUCUUUGAGCCCAUGAUAAAGUCCUAUAGGGCUUUUAACAAGUGCCUCAUGGAGGGUGUUGAAAAAUCCAAUAGUUCAAGGGAAAGUGACUUGAAGUCCUUCUUAUAUCCCAAAAGAAUAAAAGGAAGAGCUUUAUACGGGAG